This 24-nucleotide non-coding RNA is filed under the name Arabidopsis thaliana (thale cress). Lineage: Eukaryota; Viridiplantae; Streptophyta; Magnoliopsida; Brassicales; Brassicaceae. The record is from RNAcentral.
UUAUUAAACAAGGUCUAAAAUGGC